AUUCCAUGGUGGGGACAUUCUAGGAUGUAGUCUUGGAAGCGCUCCCAUGCUUCUGGAACAGAUUCAUCGUUUUGUUGCCGAAAACUUGUAAUCUUCCCACGGAGAGC
Sorghum bicolor (sorghum) is the source of this 107-nucleotide small nucleolar RNA. It matches the Rfam family "Plant small nucleolar RNA R71". From Rfam's summary of the family: R71 is a member of the C/D box family of snoRNAs containing the C (UGAUGA) and D (CUGA) box motifs. Multiple nearly identical copies of this snoRNA have been identified in Arabidopsis, and it is thought to function as a 2'-O-ribose methylation guide for 18S ribosomal RNA. Lineage: Eukaryota; Viridiplantae; Streptophyta; Magnoliopsida; Poales; Poaceae. The record is from Rfam.